This 253-nucleotide ribosomal RNA is filed under the name uncultured prokaryote. Its description in RNAcentral is "partial 16S ribosomal RNA". It matches the Rfam family "Bacterial small subunit ribosomal RNA", at positions 524 to 776 of the family's 1533-position model. The record is from RNAcentral.
GACGUAGGGGGCCAGCGUUGUUCGGAAUUACUGGGUGUAAAGGGUUCGUAGGCGGUGUGGCAAGUCGGGAGUGAAAUCUCUAGGCUCAACCUAGAGUCUGCUUCCGAAACUGCUGUGCUUGAGUGUGGGAGAGGCGCGUGGAAUUGCAGGUGUAGCGGUGAAAUGCGUAGAUAUCUGGAGGAACACCGAUGGCGAAGGCGGCAUCCUGGACCAAAUCUGACGCUGAGGAGCGAAAGCCAGGGGAGCAAACGGG